RNAcentral lists this ribosomal RNA (426 nucleotides) under uncultured bacterium. Its description in RNAcentral is "bacterial SSU rRNA". It matches the Rfam family "Bacterial small subunit ribosomal RNA", at positions 354 to 796 of the family's 1533-position model. The record is from RNAcentral.
GUGAGGAAUUUUCCGCAAUGGGCGAAAGCCUGACGGAGCAAUGCCGCGUGAAGGAUGAAGGCCUAUGGGUUGUAAACUUCGUUUCUCAGAAAAGAAUUAUGACGGUAUCUGAGGAAUAAGCAUCGGCUAACUCUGUGCCAGCAGCCGCGGUAAGACAGAGGAUGCAAGCGUUAUCCGGAAUGAUUGGGCGUAAAGCGUCUGUAGGUUGUUUAAAAAGUAUUCUGUCAAAGAUUAGGGCUUAACCCUAGAUAGGCAGAAUAAACUUUUAAGCUAGAGUUUGGUAGAGGCAGGGGGAAUGCCCGGUGGAGCGGUGAAAUGCGUAGAUAUCGGGAGGAACACCAAAGGCGUAGGCACUCUGCUGGGCCAAUACUAACACUGAGAGACGAAAGCGAGGGGAGCAAAUGGGAUUAGAUACCCGGGUAGUCC